GACGAACGCUGGCGGCGUGCUUAACACAUGCAAGUCGAACGGAAAGGCCCUGCUUUUGUGGGGUGCUCGAGUGGCGAACGGGUGAGUAACACGCGAGUAACCUGUCCUUGACUUUGGGAUAACUUCAGGAAACUGGGGCUAAUACCGGAUAGGAGCUCCUGCUGCAUGGUGGGGGUUGGAAAGUUUCGGCGGUUGGGGAUGGACUCGCGGCUUAUCAGCUUGUUGGUGGGGUAGUGGCUUACCAAGGGUUUGACGGGUAGCCGGCCUGAGAGGGGGACCGGCCACAUUGGGACUGAGAUACGGCCCAGACUCGUACGGGAGGCAGCAGUGGGGAAUAUUGCACAAUGGGCGGAAGCCUGAUGCAGCAACGCCGCGUGCGGGAUGACGGCCUUCGGGUUGUAAACCGCUUUCGCCUGUGACGAAGCGUGAGUGACGGUAAUGGAUAAAGAAGCACCGGCUAACUACGUG
Molecule: ribosomal RNA, 468 nt
Filed under: uncultured bacterium
Lineage: Bacteria
Description: partial 16S ribosomal RNA
Rfam family: Bacterial small subunit ribosomal RNA
Source: RNAcentral